This 253-nucleotide ribosomal RNA is filed under the name uncultured bacterium. RNAcentral describes it as "partial 16S ribosomal RNA". It matches the Rfam family "Bacterial small subunit ribosomal RNA", at positions 524 to 776 of the family's 1533-position model. The record is from RNAcentral.
UACAGAGGUCCCAAGCGUUGUUCGGAUUCAUUGGGCGUAAAGGGUGCGUAGGCGGCGCGGUAAGUCGGGUGUGAAAUCUUGGAGCUUAACUCCGAAACUGCAUUCGAUACUGCCGUGCUUGAGGACUGGAGAGGAGACUGGAAUUUACGGUGUAGCGGUGAAAUGCGUAGAUAUCGUAAGGAAGACCAGUGGCGAAGGCGGGUCUCUGGACAGUUCCUGACGCUGAGGCACGAAGGCCAGGGGAGCAAACGGG